CUCGCAACCUAGUGUAGUAUGAAUGUCUCUUCCUCGGUACAUUUAUAUUCAUCAAUAAACAUGCAAUAACCCUCUAUUCCUAUCAAUAUUAUUACACUUUGAGCUGAUGAAUAUGCACAGUGUCUUAACUACCCCUGCAAAGAACUUUUGGAAGCAAAAGUUUAUUAUAUCAAGUGACUGAUCCAUUAUUAUUGUACACAGCAACCCUCCACCAAGGUUAUCAUGAUAGGCAAUGUAAGUUCUGAAAUAUCUUAUCAAUAUGAAUAUUUACACCCUAAAAUACAUGAACUACUGCAU
RNAcentral lists this long non-coding RNA (297 nucleotides) under Mytilus galloprovincialis (Mediterranean mussel). Lineage: Eukaryota; Metazoa; Mollusca; Bivalvia; Mytilida; Mytilidae. The record is from RNAcentral.